GAGGCAUUCCUCAAGCCUAUG
This 21-nucleotide microRNA is filed under the name Monodelphis domestica (gray short-tailed opossum). RNAcentral's name for it is "mdo-miR-7263-5p". Lineage: Eukaryota; Metazoa; Chordata; Mammalia; Didelphimorphia; Didelphidae. The record is from miRBase by way of RNAcentral.